This 979-nucleotide ribosomal RNA is filed under the name human gut metagenome. RNAcentral describes it as "bacterial LSU rRNA". It matches the Rfam family "Bacterial large subunit ribosomal RNA", at positions 1945 to 2925 of the family's 2925-position model. The record is from RNAcentral.
ACGGUCCUAAGGUAGCGAAAUUCCUUGUCGGGUAAGUUCCGACCCGCACGAAAGGUGUAACGAUUUGGGCACUGUCUCAACGAGGGACCCGGUGAAAUUGAAGUACCUGUGAAGAUGCAGGUUACCCGCGACUGGACAGAAAGACCCCAUGGAGCUUUACUGUAACCUGAGAUUGGAUUCCGGUAAGAGAUGUACAGGAUAGUUGGGAGGCUGAGAAGUGAGUACGCCAGUAUUCACGGAGCCGCUGGUGGGAUACCAACCUUGUUUUAUUGGAAUUCUAACGAGAAGCGUAACGAGCUUGCGGACAGUCUCAGGCGGGCAGUUUGACUGGGGCGGUCGCCUCCGAAAGAGUAACGGAGGCGCCCAAAGGUUCCCUCAGCGCGGACGGAAACCGCGCGAAGAGUGCAAAGGCAGAAGGGAGCUUGACUGCGAGACGGACAGGUCGAGCAGGGACGAAAGUCGGGCUUAGUGAUCCGGUGGUAGAGAGUGGAAUUGCCAUCGCUCAACGGAUAAAAGCUACCCUGGGGAUAACAGGCUUAUCUCUCCCAAGAGUCCAUAUCGACGGGGAGGUUUGGCACCUCGAUGUCGGCUCAUCACAUCCUGGGGCUGAAGUCGGUCCCAAGGGUUGGGCUGUUCGCCCAUUAAAGUGGUACGUGAGCUGGGUUCAGAACGUCGUGAGACAGUUCGGUCCCUAUCCAUCGCGGGCGCAAGAGAUUUGAAGGGGGCUGCUCCUAGUACGAGAGGACCGGAGUGGACGAACCAAUGGUGUACCAAUUAUCUCGCCAGAGGUAUAGUUGGGUAGCUACGUUCGGAAAGGAUAAACGCUGAAAGCAUCUAAGCGUGAAACCAGCCUUAAGAUGAGAUCUCUCAUAGAGUAAUCUAGUAAGACACCUUGGAGAAGACGAGGUUGAUAGGUCGGGAGUGUAAGUACAGUAAUGUAUUCAGCGGACCGAUACUAAUAUGUCGAGGGCUUGACUUA